GUGUAGCGCAAUGGAUAGCGCUUUGGACUUCUAAUCCAAAGGUUGUGGGUUCGAAUCCCAUCAGGAGUG
RNAcentral lists this transfer RNA (69 nucleotides) under Trichonephila clavata. RNAcentral's name for it is "tRNA-Arg". The stretch from base 2 to 63 matches the Rfam family "tRNA", at positions 6 to 65 of the family's 71-position model. From Rfam's summary of the family: Transfer RNA (tRNA) molecules are approximately 80 nucleotides in length. Their secondary structure includes four short double-helical elements and three loops (D, anti-codon, and T loops). The record is from RNAcentral. Lineage: Eukaryota; Metazoa; Arthropoda; Arachnida; Araneae; Nephilidae.